GAUGAACGCUGGCGGCGUGCCUAAUACAUGCAAGUCGAGCGGACGGACCAGAAGCUUGCUUCGCUCAUGUUAGCGGCGCACGUGUGAGUAACACGUGGAUCACCUACCUAUAAGACUGGUAUAACCUCGGGACUCCGGAGCUAAUACCGUAUAAUAUUUUGACCCGCAUGGUUCCUUAGUGAAAGACGGUCUUGCUGUCACUUAUAGCUGGAUCCGCGCUGCAUUAGGUAGUUGGUACGGUAAGGGCGUACCAAGGCGACGAUGCGUAGACGACCUGUCAGCGCGAUGGCCCACACGAGAGUUGAGACCUGUUCCAGAGGCCUACGGGAGGCACCAGCAGGGAAUCUUCCGCAAUGGGCGAAAGCCUUACGCAGCACCCCCGCGCGAGUGAUGAAGGCCCUCGGUGCGGAAAGCUGUUUUAUGAGGGAAGAACACAUGUGUCAGUCACCGUGCACAUCUUGACGGUACCUAGUCAAGAAGCAACGGCUAACCACGUG
This 497-nucleotide ribosomal RNA is filed under the name uncultured bacterium. RNAcentral describes it as "partial 16S ribosomal RNA". It matches the Rfam family "Bacterial small subunit ribosomal RNA", at positions 28 to 507 of the family's 1533-position model. The record is from RNAcentral.